AGAGUUUGAUCCUGGCUCAGGAUGAACGCUGGCGGCGUGCCUAAUACAUGCAAGUCGAGCGAACGGACGAGAAGCUUGCUUCUCUGAUGUUAGCGGCGGACGGGUGAGUAACACGUGGAUAACCUACCUAUAAGACUGGGAUAACUUCGGGAAACCGGAGCUAAUACCGGAUAAUAUUUUGAACCGCAUGGUUCAAAAGUGAAAGACGGUCUUGCUGUCACUUAUAGAUGGAUCCGCGCUGCAUUAGCUAGUUGGUAAGGUGACGGCUUACCAAGGCAACGAUGCAUAGCCGACCUGAGAGGGUGAUCGGCCACACUGGAACUGAGACACGGUCCAGACUCCUACGGGAGGCAGCAGUAGGGAAUCUUCCGCAAUGGGCGAAAGCCUGACGGAGCAACGCCGCGUGAGUGAUGAAGGUCUUCGGAUCGUAAAACUCUGUUAUUAGGGAAGAACAUAUGUGUAAGUAACUGUGCACAUCUUGACGGUACCUAAUCAGAAAGCCACGGCUAACUACGUGCCAGCAGCCGCGGUAAUACGUAGGUGGCAAGCGUUAUCCGGAAUUAUUGGGCGUAAAGCGCGCGUAGGCGGUUUUUUAAGUCUGAUGUGAAAGCCCACGGCUCAACCGUGGAGGGUCAUUGGAAACUGGAAAACUUGAGUGCAGAAGAGGAAAGUGGAAUUCCAUGUGUAGCGGUGAAAUGCGCAGAGAUAUGGAGGAACACCAGUGGCGAAGGCGACUUUCUGGUCUGUAACUGACGCUGAUGUGCGAAAGCGUGGGGAUCAAACAGGAUUAGAUACCCUGGUAGUCCACGCCGUAAACGAUGAGUGCUAAGUGUUAGGGGGUUUCCGCCCCUUAGUGCUGCAGCUAACGCAUUAAGCACUCCGCCUGGGGAGUACGACCGCAAGGUUGAAACUCAAAGGAAUUGACGGGGACCCGCACAAGCGGUGGAGCAUGUGGUUUAAUUCGAAGCAACGCGAAGAACCUUACCAAAUCUUGACAUCCUUUGACAACUCUAGAGAUAGAGCCUUCCNCUUCGGGGGACAAAGUGACAGGUGGUGCAUGGUUGUCGUCAGCUCGUGUCGUGAGAUGUUGGGUUAAGUCCCGCAACGAGCGCAACCCUUAAGCUUAGUUGCCAUCAUUAAGUUGGGCACUCUAAGUUGACUGCCGGUGACAAACCGGAGGAAGGUGGGGAUGACGUCAAAUCAUCAUGCCCCUUAUGAUUUGGGCUACACACGUGCUACAAUGGACAAUACAAAGGGCAGCGAAACCGCGAGGUCAAGCAAAUCCCAUAAAGUUGUUCUCAGUUCGGAUUGUAGUCUGCAACUCGACUACAUGAAGCUGGAAUCGCUAGUAAUCGUAGAUCAGCAUGCUACGGUGAAUACGUUCCCGGGUCUUGUACACACCGCCCGUCACACCACGAGAGUUUGUAACACCCGAAGCCGGUGGAGUAACCUUUUAGGAGCUAGCCGUCGAAGGUGGGACAAAUGAUUGGGGUGAAGUCGUAACAAGGUAGCCGUAUCGGAAGGUGCGGCUGGAUCACCU
Molecule: ribosomal RNA, 1540 nt
Filed under: Staphylococcus aureus
Lineage: Bacteria; Bacillati; Bacillota; Bacilli; Caryophanales; Staphylococcaceae
Description: 16S ribosomal RNA
Rfam family: Bacterial small subunit ribosomal RNA
Source: RNAcentral